Molecule: transfer RNA, 76 nt
Filed under: Rubellimicrobium rubrum
Lineage: Bacteria; Pseudomonadati; Pseudomonadota; Alphaproteobacteria; Rhodobacterales; Roseobacteraceae
Description: Rubellimicrobium sp. YIM 131921 tRNA-Lys
Rfam family: tRNA
About the family: Transfer RNA (tRNA) molecules are approximately 80 nucleotides in length. Their secondary structure includes four short double-helical elements and three loops (D, anti-codon, and T loops). Further hydrogen bonds mediate the characteristic L-shaped molecular structure. tRNAs have two regions of fundamental functional importance: the anti-codon, which is responsible for specific mRNA codon recognition, and the 3' end, to which the tRNAs corresponding amino acid is attached (by aminoacyl-tRNA synthetases). tRNAs cope with the degeneracy of the genetic code in two manners: having more than one tRNA (with a specific anti-codon) for a particular amino acid; and 'wobble' base-pairing, i.e. permitting non-standard base-pairing at the 3rd anti-codon position.
Source: RNAcentral
GGGCCGUUAGCUCAGUUGGUAGAGCAACUGACUCUUAAUCAGUUGGUCGUAGGUUCGAACCCUACACGGCUCACCA